This 22-nucleotide transfer RNA is filed under the name Deilanthe peersii. RNAcentral describes it as "partial tRNA-Leu". The record is from RNAcentral. Lineage: Eukaryota; Viridiplantae; Streptophyta; Magnoliopsida; Caryophyllales; Aizoaceae.
AAUUCAAGUCCCUCUAUCCCCM